AUGUAUCGCAGUAACUCAGCUAUAACAGAAGAGAUAGAUGACCUUUUCGGAUUAUCAACAGCAGAAGCAUCACUCAGACGUCUAACCAGAAUUUCCACAAACAUGCGCACAUAUGUUUGUGAGAGAGUGAUGGUCUCAACCAAGCCAAGUACAAUAGGCAAAAGAAGCUCCAAGGCCUCAACUGAAUCUCUCUCCUGGUGUUGGUAACAUAACCAUUCAAUAAGUACCGAGGGAACUAGCAAUUCUUCUGUGAGAUGCCAUUGGACAAGACGAACCAUAUACCACCAUUUGAAGUGCACCAAGGGCUCUUCAGUAUCUCCACCAGCUGAGGGUGCUUCAUGUUUCAAUUUUACUUGA
RNAcentral lists this ribosomal RNA (357 nucleotides) under Triticum aestivum (bread wheat). RNAcentral's name for it is "partial small subunit ribosomal RNA". Lineage: Eukaryota; Viridiplantae; Streptophyta; Magnoliopsida; Poales; Poaceae. The record is from RNAcentral.